Molecule: ribosomal RNA, 398 nt
Filed under: uncultured bacterium
Lineage: Bacteria
Description: partial 16S ribosomal RNA
Rfam family: Bacterial small subunit ribosomal RNA
Source: RNAcentral
AUACGUAGGGUGCGAGCGUUGUCCGGAAUUACUGGGCGUAAAGAGCUCGUAGGUGGUUUGUCGCGUCGUCUGUGAAAUUCCGGGGCUUAACUCCGGGCGUGCAGGCGAUACGGGCAUAACUUGAGUACUGUAGGGGAGACUGGAAUUCCUGGUGUAGCGGUGAAAUGCGCGGAUAUCAGGAGGAACACCGGUGGCGAAGGCGGGUCUCUGGGAAGUAACUGACGCUGAGGAGCGAAAGCAUGGUUAGCGAACAGGAUUAGAUACCCUGGUAGUCCAGGCCGUAAACGGUGGGCGCUAGGUGUAGGGGUCUUCCACGACUUCUGUGCCGUAGCUAACGCAUUAAGCGCCCCGCCUGGGGAGUACGGCCGCAAGGCUAAAACUCAAAUGAAUUGACGGGG